GCCAGGUGUGGUGGUGCAUGCCUGUAGUCCCAGCUACUUGGGAGGCUGAGGCAGGAGAAUCGCUUGAACCCAGGAGGCAGAGGUUGCAGUGAGCCAAGAUUGCACCAUUGCACUCCAGCCUGGGUGACAGAGCGAGACUCUGUCUCAA
RNAcentral lists this non-coding RNA (148 nucleotides) under Gorilla gorilla gorilla (western lowland gorilla). Lineage: Eukaryota; Metazoa; Chordata; Mammalia; Primates; Hominidae. The record is from Rfam by way of RNAcentral.